RNAcentral lists this transfer RNA (76 nucleotides) under Chloroflexota bacterium. RNAcentral's name for it is "Chloroflexi bacterium tRNA-Lys". It matches the Rfam family "tRNA". Rfam says of the family: Transfer RNA (tRNA) molecules are approximately 80 nucleotides in length. Their secondary structure includes four short double-helical elements and three loops (D, anti-codon, and T loops). Lineage: Bacteria; Bacillati; Chloroflexota. The record is from RNAcentral. RNAcentral also lists the same sequence under 1 other name.
GGAUCUGUAGCUCAACGGCCAGAGCAGUGGUCUCUUAAACCAUUGGUUGAGAGUUCGAAUCUCUCCAGAUCCACCU